Molecule: ribosomal RNA, 253 nt
Filed under: uncultured bacterium
Lineage: Bacteria
Description: partial 16S ribosomal RNA
Rfam family: Bacterial small subunit ribosomal RNA
Source: RNAcentral
UACAGAGGCCUCGAGCGUUGUUCGGAAUUACUGGGCGUAAAGGGAACGUAGGUGGUGACGUAAGUCAGAUGUGAAAGCCCUGGGCUUAACCUGGGAAGUGCAUUUGAUACUGCGUUGCUUGAGUACAAAAGAGGAAAGCGGAAUUCCCAGUGUAGGAGUGAAAUCCGUAGAUAUUGGGAGGAAUACCGAUGGCGAAGGCAGCUUUCUGGUUUGUAACUGACACUGAGGUUCGAAAGCGUGGGUAGCAAACAGG